This is a non-coding RNA of Pteropus alecto (black flying fox), 119 nucleotides long. NCBI's taxonomy places the organism in Eukaryota, Metazoa, Chordata, Mammalia, Chiroptera, Pteropodidae. The record is from Rfam.
GUCUGUGGCCAUGCCACCCUAAACACACCCGAUCCCAUCUGAUCUCGGAAGCUAAGCAGGGUUGGGCCUGGUUAGUACUUGGAUGAGAGACCACCUAGGAAGACCAGGUGCUGUAGGUG